RNAcentral lists this ribosomal RNA (406 nucleotides) under uncultured bacterium. Its description in RNAcentral is "partial 16S ribosomal RNA". It matches the Rfam family "Bacterial small subunit ribosomal RNA", at positions 28 to 526 of the family's 1533-position model. The record is from RNAcentral.
GAUUAACGCUGGCGGCGUGCAUAACACAUGCAAGUCUAACGAAGUGGCGGACGGGUGAGUAACGCGUGAGUACCCUGCCUUAGAGCAGGGGAUAUCCUACGGAAACGAAGAAUAAUACCCAAUACCCUAAGAUGGACUUGCGUCGGAUUGGUUAGUUGGUGAGGUAACGGCCAACCAAGACAGCGAUCAGUAGCCGGCUGGAGAGAGUGUACGGCCACAGUGGGAGUGAGACAAGGCCCAGACGCGACGGGAGGCAGCAGUGGGGAAUUUAGCACAAUGGGGGAAACCCUGAUGCAGCGACGCCGCGUGAUUUAGAAGGCCUUCGGGUUGUAAAAAUCUUUUCUAUGGGAAGCAGUACCAUAGGAAUAAGUACCGGCUAAUUACGUGCCAGCAGCCGCGGUAAUAC